CACGUAGGGCGCAAGCGUUGUCCGGAAUUAUUGGGCGUAAAGAGCUCGUAGGCGGUCUGUUGCGUCCGCUGUGAAAACUCGGGGCUUAACCCCGAGCCUGCAGUGGAUACGGGCAGACUAGAGGUAGGUAGGGGAGAAUGGAAUUCCCGGUGUAGCGGUGAAAUGCGCAGAUAUCGGGAGGAACACCGGUGGCGAAGACGGGUCUCUGGGCAGUAACUGACGCUGAGGAGCGAAAGCGUGGGGAGCGAACAGG
RNAcentral lists this ribosomal RNA (253 nucleotides) under uncultured bacterium. RNAcentral describes it as "partial 16S ribosomal RNA". It matches the Rfam family "Bacterial small subunit ribosomal RNA", at positions 524 to 776 of the family's 1533-position model. The record is from RNAcentral.